Molecule: long non-coding RNA, 6112 nt
Organism: Leopardus geoffroyi (Geoffroy's cat)
Lineage: Eukaryota; Metazoa; Chordata; Mammalia; Carnivora; Felidae
Exons: 4
Source: RefSeq, a predicted model, not a curated record
AGGACUCCAUCCCACGAACCGGGAGAUCGUGACCUGAGCCGAAAUCAAGAGGCGGACGCUCAGCCGGCUGAGGCACCCAGGUGCCCCCGGAGCAUUCUGAAACUCUUCUUGAGGUUUCUAUCAACACUGUUGGGGUGGGGGUCCCAGAAACCAGGCUGGAAGGCCUGGGGCUGCGUGAGCGACGCAGGAGUGAAACACAGAGCAGCCCGUCUGGGGCACUCCUGCACACGCCUUUGGCUCCUGCUUCUGUGUGUUGGGAUCAGAUGCACGGGGCAGGCCCGGCUCAUGGUUUGCAAUCGUUAGUCCUUCCCCUGGCUCACCAGGAGUGAGCCCCAGCACUCACAGUCAGUGUCUCACGGGCAGUCUGUUUGGAACAGCGUUGCAGAGAUGUGUCAGUUAUUCGCGUCAUGGGCAAAAUCGUUAUUGAACAGACGGCAGCAACCCGACCUUCGGCUGGAAAAGCUGACUCAAUACCCACCGCUUCAGUGUCUCCCUCUGUAAAUGGGGAUUCGGAGAUUUCCCACCCCAAAGGGCAUGUGAGGAUCGCACAGACUGAAGUGUGCUAAGCUUUGACACGAUAGAGCCAAGAAGGGUCCGUAGGCUGAGUUGUGCCUCCUCCAAAUCGUACGGUCAAGCCCUGACCUCCAGCCUCCGAAUGUGGCAGUAUGGCCUUUACAGAGGUGAUAAAGGUACAACGAGGUCAUCGGUCGAAGGUACAAUCCGACCUGGUUGGUGUUCUUACAAGAAUUCGGGACAGACAUACACAGAGAGAGACCAUGUGAGGACACGGGUAAAGCCAACAUCCACCCACCCGAGAGAGAGGUCUCAGGAGGAAGCAGCCCUGCUCACGCCAGGAUCUCGGACCUCCAGCCUCUAGCACUGGGAGGCAACGAGUUGCUCUCGUUUAAGACACCCGGCCUGCGCGGCUCCGUUCUGGCAGCCUCGGGGCACUGAUACUCAGGUGCUCAGAAAGAAUGUGUUGCUACCAGUGGGUUUUCUCAGGGGGCUUUCUGGCGUUUUAAAGUGUGGCACUCCAUUUCUUAAGGGCACCUGAGAUGCUUAGAACUUUUCCUAUGUGUUUUUAAAAAUGUAUUUUAGGAAAGUAAGUAUUAGCACAUUUUGCCGCUAUUGAGAAAUGCAACGGUAUCUGUUUUAAAAAUACACGUGUGGUUCUGUUCCAUGGAGCCCCGGAUAUCACCGGUCCACACCAUCGCCCCAGAGCUGCGGGGUCAGCAGACUCCUGAAACUGUCUCGAGGCCCGCCAUGUGCCUGGUACCGGGGCUGUGCCAGGGACUGCCACCGUCUCCGACCUCAUGGGACCCAGGUCCCAGCAAGGGAGACCGCCAGCCAGCACACACAGUCAGACUCCAGCAGCCGUCAUGACUCUCCACUCACAUCCGUUGUCAUUGUCGCGCUAUGGAGCUCCUGCCGAGGUCCCCAGUGACAAGUGCCAGGGUCAACGGCUGUGACUUCUGCUGGGAUCCCAGAGCUGGCAGGGAAGGAAGGCAGCUCAUCACAAACACGGGUACACAAGCGAUGUCUCCCCGACUCCUUUAAGUACAGGGAACGCUGAGGCCCAGGUUUGGUGGCGCCCCCGGUAGGAGUGGGGGGGGAGAGAGGGGGAGGGGCAGGCGAGCCUCCCGCCGUGUCUAUAAGGUGGCCGCCUCCUCCGGCUGCCCACCUGGCCCACUACACAGCACAUGCAGACCUGUGCCUGAGAGUCACUCCUGGCCCCAUGGACGCCCCAGGGCACCUGGUCGGGGUGAGGGAGAAGUCCCAGGGUGGGUUGGUGUCUCACAGAGAGGAGGGAGGGUCACCAGGGUAGGAAGGGUCAGAGAAGGCCCCCCUGGGCAGUGAGUCUUAAAAGGAUGUCUGGGGUGGAUUCUCAUGGCCGACCGGCAGGAAGAGGGAGAACUCGUCGUUUAGGACAGAGCUGCCCCAGCCCCAGGCGAGGGGGGCCUGGGGUCCAGCCCCAGGGUGGUGCGGGCUCGGUCAGGUCUCCAUGUGUGAGCGGAUGGGUGCUCCAAGCUCUCUACCUGUCAGGGGGUUUUGGAGAGUCUAUCGGGGAGGGAAGAACAGGGGUUCCAGUCCUUCCCGGGGCUGCCUCCCAGAGCCAUAAAUUACGUCCAUUAUGUGCUGGACGUAAAUUAUGGUUUAUUAGUUUCCUAGGGUGUCUGUGACAAAGUCCCGCAGAUUGUGCGGCUUAAAGCACGGAAAUUUAUUCUCUCGCGGUUCUGGGGGCCAGAAGCUCUAAAUCAAGAUGUCAGCAGGGUGUGCUUCCUCUGAAAGAUCUGGGGGACAAUGUGUCCCUUGUCUCUCUCCCAGCUUCUGGCGUGGCUGGCCACCCUUGGAGUUCCUGGGUUUGAGGACGGGUCCCUCUGACCUCAGCCUCUGCCACCCACGGCUGAUUGUCCCUGUGUCUCUGCGUGUCCUCUCCUCUUCUUAGGGGGACACCAAGCAUUGGAUUUAGGGCCCUCCCUAUUCCGGUCUGACCUCAUCUAAACUAAUUAUAUCUGCAGUGACCCUAUUGCCAAAUAAGUCACAGCCGCAGGUCCCAGGGGUUAGGACGUGGACGUGUCUUCCCGUGGGGAACGCACGAUUUAACCUACAAUGGAUGGUAAAGUGUCUCCCUCCCUUUAGGAACCACGGGGUGUGGGCUGCGGGAUGUGGCCCGUGGUUCAGUCCCCACCGACGGUCGCCCAGGUGUGGCCUGUGCUGGCUGUAUUUCACCCGCAUUCCAGGGGACUGUCACACCCCGGGAGUCACCAGGGCUGCCCGUGUCGGUGGCUUUCUGAGGACGAGCUGAAGCUGUUGGCAUUAAGUGGGGGCUCCGGAAACGUCUGCCCUACAGGCUGCUCUAGCCUCCGAGGGGGACCCGAGAGAUAAGUGGGUGGACCCGAGGCUCAGUCGUGGGCAGCCGCGACGAGCAGAGACACUGAGGCUCAGCCCCGGCCGGGGUGUCCGGGGGCCUGUCUGCUCCAGGUGGGGGCUGGGUGGAGGCUCCAGCGAAGCCGCCUGAAUGAAGUGGCAGACGCUGGGCCCCGGACCAGCUCCUCUGGAGAAGAAUGCCAGCCGAAACUCCUACGGCCGGUGGCCUGGCCUGGUCGAACAGAAUUAGGGCUUUUCUUGCAGAAGUGGAGGAGGCAAAUCUGGAAGGGGUGUUGGGGGCAGGCACACAUGCUCACUGUCACCUCUCCACCGACUGACGGGCAAGUACCAUCCGCACGAGCGUGGACAGGGCCAGGCACUGUCUUCUGUCGGGGACACGCUGAGCCCAUCGACGAUCCACCGAGGGACCCCACCCUGGCCUCCAACCAGGUGGGCACCCGAGGAGAAGCCUGGAUGCCGUACGUCCAGCAGCAGUAGCUCGGUCUUCCAGGAGGAUCUCUGGGCUCCAAGAGGCCCCGACAGAGCAGGGUCCUGGGUCUCCACCUUCCCGUCUUGCCUGGAUGCUCACGAAGCCUGGGCGAGCACCUGAAACGUGCGUACUGUUGUGAUCCGUAACAGCGCGGUGGCCGUUGGGCCUGCAGGGGCUGCUGUCACAUCCGAGUUGACCUUGAGUCGUGGCUCCAUAGGAGACUAACUGUCUGCUGUCCCCUCUCUCAGCCGGGAGUGGAGACGGGUGUUCGCUGAGCCCUGGAGGGGGGGUAGACUGGCAUCACCAUGUGCCCGGGGGGCCCCCCUGCGCCCUGAUGCCCUCCUAAGUGGGCGACUCCCCGGGGCCCACGGGCCAGAGCCACACCCUCCGGAACUGGUUCUCCUGAGUACAGGGCCGGGCGGGACGGAAACUGAACAGGCUGUACCCAGGAAUGCAAAUGACUCUGCCUGAGAAAAGGGAAGGGCAUCCAGCCACGGCCCGGAGCUGGCGGCCCCUGAGCCUCAACACAGCUGGCAUGGAAAAUCCCCUGCCCCAGACGCGGCCUCGUCUUGUCUCCGUUCUGGAGGGCGGGGGUAGGAGAGGUGACCCCGAUGGGGAAGGCCUGGGUCUCACAGGCGCGUGCAGCUGAGCCCCGUGGACCUGUCUGGUCCAUCCAGCCGUGGCAAACUGGGGAGCCCUGCCACGGUGAGCCUGUUUCCACCCCCUAAAUUUGGAGCCCAGAGUUGGAAAAGUCAGACUGCAGGGAGGGGGGGGGCAAUGCCAGCCAAGCCACCAGGGCCCACGUGGGUGCAGGGGGUGGAAAUCCUGUCAUCCGCAGCCUGUGGCGGCUGGGGGCGGGCAGUGAGGACGGCGGGAGGGAGGGGCUUCUCGAAGGAGAAGCCCUGCUGGGGCACCCCCCAGCCCCAGGACAGGGGAGCCUCUUCCAGAGGAAGCAGCCGGCAGCUGGCCCCGGGGGAGGGGCCUUGCUCAACGCAGGAGGGCAAGGCCUGUGCUGUUUCCGGGCCGGGAGGGGUCGUCAGCCCAACUGAGAGGGACAAGCCCUGGGAUGAGCCCCGUGUUGCCCAACUCCUGCCCCCAGGCCUGGAAACCCAGAGGCCCCUGCCCUGUGUGAGUCUCUCGGUGGCCAUCAGCCACUGGGUAACUGUGGGAGCGGCCCUGGCAGGAAGCCGCCCUUGGAUGGCGCAGCUGCGGCUGGAGCCUGCCAAGCCUGACACCCACCUCCCGGGGGCCGAAACCGGCGUGGGGGCUGGGCCUCUCCCGCGGGGGCUGGUGAGCCAAUAGUGCCGAUGACGCACCGCGGUGACUGACAUAAGGCCCGGGGGCCGCGAGCAUCCUUCCAUUGGCCAAUAAGUAUAUCUUGACCCGAGGGAGGCAGGCGGCCGCGAAACAGUUAAGUGUUCAGAAUUUGCCUCAAAGUCUCCAGCAGUCACCUGAGAGUUCGCUUCUUUAGCAGCGCUCUCCUCCCCGUGUCCCCAGCCCGCCAACAGUCCACACGGGUCCCCUCGCCUCCGGGAUGCUCGUCACGUGAUCACGCACGUUUGAAUCGGAUGCGAUGGAAAUGUUCCAGGUUUUGAAAUGCCCACGUACCUUUAUUUCCACCGCCGGCGUAUUGUUCGCAGUAUUGCGAUGAGACUGGUAAGAUGGGCCUUAGAAUUAAGCCCACUGAAGUAGGAAGCCAUCAGGGGUGUGACGCCCCAAAGUCCCCACCCAUCAUCCCUCUUACCUGCCGGGUGAAAGACGGCUCCGGAGAGGAAAUACCGCCCUCGAGUUUCCCCAUGUCACGUGCUGGAUUUUUUCACGCUGCGUCCACGCCGUGGAGUGACCUUACAGCCCCUAGAAAUGUUUGCGUCUGCCCCCCCCCCCCCCCACCGCCCCGUCCCUUCUGUCCCCAUCUCUGAGCUGCUGUUUCAGGGAGUCAGCUCUGUUCAUGACACGAGAAAAAAAGUCAAGCAGGAAACGGAAGGACUGUUGUUUCUGGAGCAUGUGAACUCUUCGGACAGCUGUGUGACCACCCUGUCACCGCACGGAGACAGUCCAUCUCACUCCCGGGGGCGGGAGAGGACACGGCAGACGAGCGCCGGGACCCUGUGAGCUGUGCGUGGGCCUGUGCUGACCUCCCGCCCGCCCGCCCGGGGGUGAGGGCCCCUCCUGGGAAACGAGGCAGACUUCUUCCUGCUCCCCUGUGGGUCUUUCCAGGGACUGUCCAGGAGUGACGCCCCCGCUAGGGAGGACAUUCCCUAGAAGGGCCACGCCUCUUCCCGAAGAGGGUCCUUACACCCCGAGCUGAAAGUACCCCAUUUCUCAGAGCUUCUCAGAGUGACCCUGGAGAUCCGGGAAUUAAACUCAUGAGUUUAUGAAAUAAGAAACAAAGACGAAGCUUCUGGUAAGAUUGUGUUGGUGGAAAUGUCUGGAAAGAGGAGGUCAGCUUAGCGGCAAUGGGCGUAAAACCAGCUUGCUGGGAAAUCCCACGCGUAACCACAGGCUUAGAGCUUUAGGGCUCCUCCGAACUUUCUAGGGUUGGACCCCGAUGGAGGGCGUGUGCAGGAGGGGGGCCUCGGGCACAGCGCCCCCGACGGGACAUGCUCCCGGCAGACCCAGCAGCCAGGGCUUGUGCCUUGGUUUUUUCUUCUCUCCUUAAAAUUUUCUUUUUCUAACAAUAACUCUUUUGUUUAACAAGUUAAAGACCUUGUUUCAUUUAUUUGUUUGAUUGUGGUAAAACACACAUAAUGCAAA